RNAcentral lists this ribosomal RNA (254 nucleotides) under uncultured bacterium. Its description in RNAcentral is "partial 16S ribosomal RNA". It matches the Rfam family "Bacterial small subunit ribosomal RNA", at positions 524 to 776 of the family's 1533-position model. The record is from RNAcentral.
UACGGGGGGAGCAAGCGUUGUUCGGAUUUACUGGGCGUAAAGGGCGCGUAGGCGGUUUGCACAGUCAGACGUGAAAUUCCUGGGCUUAACCUGGGGGCUGCGUUUGAUACGUGCAGGCUUGAGUUCGGAAGAGGGUCGUGGAAUUCCCAGUGUAGAGGUGAAAUUCGUAGAUAUUGGGAAGAACACCGGUGGCGAAGGCGGCGACCUGGUCCGAUGACUGACGCUGAGGCGCGAAAGCGUGGGGAGCGAACAGG